AUGGGGACCCGUAUGAAUGGCAUAACGAGGGCUAAACUGUCUCCUUUUCCCAGUCAAUGAAAUUGAUCCCCCCGUGCAGAAGCGGGGAUGCCCACAUAAGACGAGAAGACCCUAUGGAGCUUCAGACACAAAGACAGACUAUGUUCAACACCUUUAAAAAAGAAACAAAACCAAAUACCCCCUGCUCUUAUGUC
RNAcentral lists this ribosomal RNA (194 nucleotides) under Xyrichtys martinicensis (rosy razorfish). Its description in RNAcentral is "partial large subunit ribosomal RNA". Lineage: Eukaryota; Metazoa; Chordata; Actinopteri; Labriformes; Labridae. The record is from RNAcentral.